Molecule: ribosomal RNA, 490 nt
Filed under: uncultured bacterium
Lineage: Bacteria
Description: partial 16S ribosomal RNA
Rfam family: Bacterial small subunit ribosomal RNA
Source: RNAcentral
AUUGAACGCUGGCGGCAGGCUUAACACAUGCAAGUCGAGCGGUAGCACAGGGGAUCUUGCUCCCUGGGUGACGAGCGGCGGACGGGUGAGUAAUGUCUGGGAAACUGCCUGAUGGAGGGGGAUAACUACUGGAAACGGUAGCUAAUACCGCAUAACGUCGCAAGACCAAAGAGGGGGACCUUCGGGCCUCUUGCCAUCAGAUGUGCCCAGAUGGGAUUAGCUAGUAGGUGGGGUAACGGCUCACCUAGGCGACGAUCCCUAGCUGGUCUGAGAGGAUGGCCAGCCACACUGGAACUGAGACACGGUCCAGACUCCUACGGGAGGCAGCAGUGGGGAAUAUUGCACAAUGGGCGCAAGCCUGAUGCAGCCAUGCCGCGUGUGUGAAGAAGGCCUUCGGGUUGUAAAGCACUUUCAGCGAGGAGGAAGGUGGUGAGCUUAAUACGUUCAUCAAUUGACGGUACUCGCAGAAGAAGCACCGGCUAACUCCGUG